GCAGCCUAUAUAAGUCUCGUGAGAUCUCCUCCCCUUGGUUUACUGUCACAGCCGGAUCUGCGGCGGUGUCUCGCCCGGUCUCCCGCCCGGUCUCCGGUCCCAGGCUCGGGGAGCAUGUCGUCUCUCUGCCGCCCUGCCGCCACAUCUGGCUUUAAUCCUCCCCGGCGUGUGCAGAGGCAGCUCAGACUGCCAACAAAAGGCCCCGGGAGCCCUCGGCCUCCGCCUUGGCGCGCGACCCGACCACCCCGGACUGCCCCAGCCCGGCCCCUUCCCCCAGCUGCAGGUCCCGUGCCCUGGACAUCCUGCCUGGGUAGCAGUCCUGGUGACAGGUCCCGGCAGCGGCUCCCGCCCUAAUCCGACGGUGGAGUCCGAGGCCCCGCGGUUCCGGGCACCUCACUUUCUCUCACCGUCGCGACAUCCCUAGCGAUAGGCGUCGUUAUCCCCAGUUUAAUUUACCAAUGAGGAGACCGGGACUCAGGGAGAAGGACUGGCUUAAGCAGCUAGAAAGAAGAGCUGUAACUAGGAUUUAAAUACAGUUUGAGUGCUAAAGACUCUGAUUUUUCCACUACAUCACGCUGUCCUGCCCCUUUCUCCUGAGCCCCAUGUCCUUAAUUAUCACCAUUUCAUAAGGUUUGAGGUUAACUUCAGCACCAAAUAGAUAAUCAUCUAGAGAAAACCUGCGGUGUCUGCCCCUGUUUUUCUUAGUAUCCAUAUGUACUAUGACUUGCGUUAAUAGAAACUACCAUAGGGUACAUCAUUUUUUGGGUACUUACCAUAUGCCAGGCAAGGUGCUAAGAUUUUAACUGCAUCAUCUCAUUUAAUUCCCAUUUUUCAUGAGGAAACUGGAGCUCAAAGAGGUUAGAGAAUUUGCCGAAAGUCACACAGCAGGCCUUUGAAACGUGCAGUCUCAUCCAGUAUCACGGCAGAAGCAGAAAGACAGAAGAUGGAGCAAGCAGAAGCCAUGAGCACAGAGGAAGCCAAAAGCACUAGAAGAGAGGGCGAUAUUCAGAAAUACUGGGGAGUUAGACUCUGAAACUUCUAGCAAGAUGUGGAUUUGGCACCGCGGGCUUAUAAUGAAAAAAUAUAAGAACUGCUCCCAGCUAAUGGAAAAAUAAAUUGGAAUUGUAUUGGAAAAGUACCCAAAAGAACUUGCCUCAAAUGAGAAUUGAGUUUUUAUUAGAAAAAUCGGAUAAGAGUAAAAAAAAAAAGAAUUUUCCCUCCAAUCAUCAAAUGGUCCUUGUAAUUUAUUGUUUUACUGCCCUCCUAUAAAGAAACACUACACUUUAGUGUCUGUCAAAUGCUUUUGUAAUUAUGAAAGUAGUGUCAGCCCAGCAACCUGAAAUAAUUUCUCCUUUCGAGUGAAAGCUUCAAGCUUGCAGUGAAAGUACCUGCGCCAAUUUCUUCACCUUCUAAGCACUAAAGGAAAAGUCAUCAUCUUGGCCUCCACAGAGAACAACAAAUAUUUAUGAAACUUCUUCCUCGUGGAUUUUAGCAUUUGCCUUGGUUGCUGUUUGACCAUAUAUCCUCUUUCUUUCCUGUUCGACAAACGUUUACUGAGUACUUCCUGUUUUCUGGGCACCAAGCGGCAUGCAGCACACACAACUGAACACGGCUCUUCCAUUUUUCUGGAGCGCAGGGUAAUGGCAGGAAUAUAGCAAGAAAAGAGGUUGCACAGAGAGAUUGGGG
Long non-coding RNA from Equus caballus (horse), 1686 nucleotides. NCBI's taxonomy places the organism in Eukaryota, Metazoa, Chordata, Mammalia, Perissodactyla, Equidae. The record is from Ensembl.